This 484-nucleotide ribosomal RNA is filed under the name uncultured bacterium. RNAcentral's name for it is "partial 16S ribosomal RNA". It matches the Rfam family "Bacterial small subunit ribosomal RNA", at positions 30 to 507 of the family's 1533-position model. The record is from RNAcentral.
AUUGAACGCUGGCGGAAGGUUUAACACAGGCAAGUCGAGCGGAUGAAGGGAGCUUGCUCCUGGAUUCAGCGGCGGACGGGUGAGUAAUGCCUAGGAAUCUGCCUGGUAGUGGGGGAUAACGUCCGGAAACGGGCGCUAAUACCGCAUACGUCCUGAGGGAGAAAGUGGGGGAUCUUCGGACCUCACGCUAUCAGAUGAGCCUAGGUCGGAUUAGCUAGUUGGUGGGGUAAAGGCCUACCUAGGCGACGAUCCGUAACUGGUCUGAGAGGAUGAUCAGUCACACGAGAACUGGGACGCGGUCCAUACUCCUACGAGAGGCAGCAGUGGGGAAUGUUGGACAGUGGUCGAAAGCCUGAUCCAACCAUGCCGCGUGUGUGAAGAAGGUCUUCGGAGUGUAAAGCACUUUAAGUUGGGAGGAAGGGCAGUAAGUUAAUACCUUGCUGUUUUGACGUUACCAACAGAAUAAGCACCGGCUAACUUCGUG